CCUGGGCAGUCAGAUGGAGCCGCAGCGCUACCUGCGCUCCUCCGACAUGCCUCAGAACUGCCAGAGAACCACAGCAUGUUAGCGGUUGGAAGGGACCCCGAAAGAACAGCGAGGUGCAGCCCCAUUGCCAGAGCAGGAUAACCCAGAGGAACACAUCCAGCCCAGCAGCAGGCCACAAGCACACUCUGACCAAGGCCAUGCCCUGGGAAACCACAUCAUCAGCUGACAGGUAUUAUUACUGCAGGGAGAGCUUUGUUUAGCUGUGCACCUUCAUCAUGACCAGCACCCGUGGUGAGCUUCAAAUCUUGGACUAUGCUGUGGCUGCCAUGCAAGCUACAGUAUCUCCAAACUGCUUUGAUGCCAGGAGCUUCUGAUUAUUCAGGUAAGAACUGACAUCCUCUGCCUCAU
Molecule: long non-coding RNA, 408 nt
Organism: Pogoniulus pusillus (Red-fronted tinkerbird)
Lineage: Eukaryota; Metazoa; Chordata; Aves; Piciformes; Lybiidae
Exons: 3
Source: RefSeq, a predicted model, not a curated record